RNAcentral lists this non-coding RNA (86 nucleotides) under Pelosinus propionicus DSM 13327. RNAcentral describes it as "GEMM cis-regulatory element". It matches the Rfam family "c-di-GMP-I riboswitch aptamer". Rfam says of the family: GEMM was predicted in a large-scale screen for bacterial structured RNA regulatory elements. Genes associated with GEMM are involved in a diverse array of functions, including chemotaxis regulation, signal transduction, secretion and chitin. The record is from RNAcentral. Lineage: Bacteria; Bacillati; Bacillota; Negativicutes; Selenomonadales; Sporomusaceae.
AUGAAUAUUUAGCAAACUCAUCCAAAGGUGGGGACGCAAAGCUAUGGGUCUAAGGGGGAUAAUCCUAUGAUUGCCAGGUUGCCGAU